This 918-nucleotide ribosomal RNA is filed under the name Triticum aestivum (bread wheat). Its description in RNAcentral is "partial small subunit ribosomal RNA". The record is from RNAcentral. Lineage: Eukaryota; Viridiplantae; Streptophyta; Magnoliopsida; Poales; Poaceae.
AUGCUAGCAUGUUCUGUUAUGCCUUUAAAUUCAAUUAGGCACAAGAGAUCCCUGAUGCUCAAAAUAAUUACUCCAAUAGGCAUCAUGGUGUCACUUGCUAUGGUUAUAUUUGUUUUAUUUCAUUGGAGAGGAAAACACAAGAGGAAUUCCAUAUCACUGCCGUCAUUUGCUACAACAUUUCCCAAAGUUUCUUUCAACGACCUAGCCAAAGCAACACAUGGAUUCUCAGCGUCCAACCUAAUUGGCAGAGGGAGUUAUAGUUCUGUAUACCUAGGAAAACUAGUGGAAUAUGAAAAUGAGGUUGCCAUAAAAGUCUUCAACCUAGAGACAAGAGGAGCGCAAAAGAGCUUCAUUGCAAAUUGUAAUGUGUUGAGAAAUGUGCGGCACCGUAAUCUGGUCCACAUCAUAACUGCAUGCUCAACCAUUGAUUCUAAUGGCAAUGAUUUCAAGGCUCUAGUGUAUGAGCUCAUGCCACGAGGAGACUUACAUAAACUACUAUACUCAACUGGACAGUAUGAAAGCUCUUCAGAUUUGAUCCUCAUUGCGAUGGCUCAAAGGGUAAGUAUUGUGGUGGACGUAGCGGAUGCACUGGAGUAUGUACACCAUAACAACCAAGAAACAAUGAUUCAUUGUGAUUUGAAGCCUAGCAACAUUCUUUUGGAUGACAGUAUGACAGCUCAUGUUGGAGACUUUGGCCUGGCAAGAUUCAAAGUUGGUUCCACAAUGUCAUCUCUUGGUAACUCCAACUAUUUUUCUGUUGCAGUCAUGGGGACAAUUGGAUAUGCCGCUCCAGAAUAUGCGGGGGCGGUCAAGUUUCAACCGCCGCGGAUGUUUACAGCUUUGGUGUUGUUCUCCUCGAGAUAUUCAUUCGAAGAAGGCCUACUGAUGACAUAUUUAAGGAUGGACUCAACAUUGUGA